Molecule: transfer RNA, 74 nt
Filed under: Candidatus Nitrosopumilus sp.
Lineage: Archaea; Thermoproteati; Nitrososphaerota; Nitrososphaeria; Nitrosopumilales; Nitrosopumilaceae
Description: Nitrosopumilus sp. tRNA-Ile
Rfam family: tRNA
About the family: Transfer RNA (tRNA) molecules are approximately 80 nucleotides in length. Their secondary structure includes four short double-helical elements and three loops (D, anti-codon, and T loops). Further hydrogen bonds mediate the characteristic L-shaped molecular structure. tRNAs have two regions of fundamental functional importance: the anti-codon, which is responsible for specific mRNA codon recognition, and the 3' end, to which the tRNAs corresponding amino acid is attached (by aminoacyl-tRNA synthetases). tRNAs cope with the degeneracy of the genetic code in two manners: having more than one tRNA (with a specific anti-codon) for a particular amino acid; and 'wobble' base-pairing, i.e. permitting non-standard base-pairing at the 3rd anti-codon position.
Source: RNAcentral
GGGGGUGUAGCUCAAUCAGGUAGAGCACCGUUCUUAUAAAGCGAAGGUUGAGGGUUCAAAUCCCUCCAUCCCUA